This is a long non-coding RNA of Oncorhynchus kisutch (coho salmon), 1185 nucleotides long. RefSeq lists it as uncharacterized. Lineage: Eukaryota; Metazoa; Chordata; Actinopteri; Salmoniformes; Salmonidae. The record is from RefSeq and is a predicted model, not a curated record. The transcript has 3 exons.
GAGUUCCGUCGUUCUUGGGAUCUCCUCUUGUCUGUGAUGUAUAAACAAGUGGUGCAACUACAAAGGUUGCACAGCCUACUUCGUCUGGAGAGACUGGCAGGACCUCACAAACUCAGACUGACGUGAGAAAAAACAACUCUGCUGAAACGAACACACGUGACGGACCGAGUUGCUUUUCCCAAAAGAUCCCGUUGUCAACAAAUCAGGAGGACAAUGACCGGAACCUAGAAAGCAGAACUUCAUCAGAGAGAGUUGUUUUCUCUUUCAGUGACGUCUCCAAGUUGACUAUCUUACUAGCAAAAACCUUUUCUUAUUUGCAACAUCAAACUAUUCACUCUUUACAGUUUGGGUUCAGGCUUGAUGUCUCAUAAGUAAAGGGAGCAACCAUAUUUAUGUUUCUCUCUCAAUAUUAUGAAAAUAUUACUUCUCAUAUCCUACCACAGGGCGGCGCUCUUGCUCCAUUCUGAAGAAGAAAAAACACUGACGAACAGCAACAGAAAACUGUUCAGUGCAGUCCAGAUAUCCACUUUCUGAUGCCUUACCCUGUUGCCAAACAAAGAAUUUCAAGCCUUUCACCUGACAUACUCCUGUUUUAUUUGUAAUGUAUUUAAUUAAUUAAUUCAAUACUUUAUUACAGAUGUAGAAUGUAAUGGGUAACUCGAUAUCCAAUUCAUGACUUUAGAGUGCUGAACCUUUUAAAUGAGGAUUGUGCAAUUCAAGAGUGUGCCUUCAAUUUAUUUCAGGACCGAAUUGAAAUGAGGUUGACCCCAACCCUGGCUAUAACGUUUAAUUGAAAUGAGGUUGACCCCAACCCUGGCUAUAACGUUUAAUUGAAAUGAGGUUGACCCCAACCCUGGCUAUAACGUUUAAUUGAAAUGAGGUUGACCCCAACCCUGGCUAUCACAUUUAAUUGAAAUGAGGUUGACCCCAACCCUGCCUAUAACGUUUUUAUGCUGAAGGAAUUCUCUGUACAGCCUAUCGUGGUGAAGGGGUACGCCUAACUGAAUUACAGUGCCUUCAGGUAUUGACUUUUUCCCGUAUUUUGUACUGUUACAGCCUGAAUGUAAAAUGGAUUACAUUUAGAUUUUGUGUCACUGGUUUACACACAAUAUCCCAUAAUGUCAAUGUGGAAUUAUGUUUUUGUAAUUUUUACAGAUGAAUAAAAAAUGAAAAGCUGAAACUUAA